Molecule: unclassified non-coding RNA, 350 nt
Filed under: soil metagenome
Description: partial contains 5.8S ribosomal RNA, internal transcribed spacer 2, and large subunit ribosomal RNA
Rfam family: 5.8S ribosomal RNA (bases 1-120)
Source: RNAcentral
GAUGAAGAACGUAGCGAAAUGCGAUAAGUAGUGUGAAUUGCAGAAUUCCGUGAAUCAUCGAAUCUUUGAACGCACAUUGCGCCCUCUGGUAUUCCGGGGGGCAUGCCUGUUCGAGCGUCAUUUCAACCCCUCAAGCACAGCUUGUGUGUUGGGCUCUCGUCCCCCGUGGACGGGCCUGAAAUGCAGUGGCAGCACCGAGAUACCGGUGUCUGAGUGUAUGGGCAUUGAUCAUCACUCGAUAGACCCGAUCGGCGCUGACCGUCAAACCACGAUUCCUCGGAAUCAUCCAGUUUUGACCUCGGAUCAGGUAGGAAUACCCGCUGAACUUAAGCAUAUCAAUAAGCGGAGGA